RNAcentral lists this non-coding RNA (41 nucleotides) under Schistosoma mattheei. Lineage: Eukaryota; Metazoa; Platyhelminthes; Trematoda; Strigeidida; Schistosomatidae. The record is from RNAcentral.
AUCUGACGAGUCCCAAACAGGACGAAAUGCGCGUCCUAGAU